UACGUAGGGUGCGAGCGUUAAUCGGAAUUACUGGGCGUAAAGCGUGCGCAGGCGGUCUGUUAAGACCGAUGUGAAAUCCCCGGGCUUAACCUGGGAACUGCAUUUGUGACUGCAUCGCUGGAGUGCGGCAGAGGGGGAUGGAAUUCCGCGUGUAGCAGUGAAAUGCGUAGAUAUGCGGAGGAACACCGAUGGCGAAGGCAAUCCCCUGGGCCUGCACUGACGCUCAUGCACGAAAGCGUGGGGAGCAAACAGG
This 253-nucleotide ribosomal RNA is filed under the name uncultured bacterium. RNAcentral describes it as "partial 16S ribosomal RNA". It matches the Rfam family "Bacterial small subunit ribosomal RNA", at positions 524 to 776 of the family's 1533-position model. The record is from RNAcentral.